This 411-nucleotide ribosomal RNA is filed under the name Macaca ochreata (booted macaque). RNAcentral's name for it is "partial 12S ribosomal RNA". It matches the Rfam family "Bacterial small subunit ribosomal RNA", at positions 925 to 1522 of the family's 1533-position model. The record is from RNAcentral. Lineage: Eukaryota; Metazoa; Chordata; Mammalia; Primates; Cercopithecidae.
CCCUAGAGGAGCCUGUUCCAUAAUCGAUAAACCCCGAUCCACCUCACCCUCUCUUGCUUAGCCUAUAUACCGCCAUCUUCAGCAAACCCUGAUAAAGGUUACAAAGUGAGCACAAACGCCCUGCCGCCGCAAAAACGUUAGGUCAAGGUGUAGCCAAUGAAAGGGUAAAAAUGGGCUACAUUUUCUACAUCAGAAAACUCCACGAAAACUCUUAUGAAACCUGAGAGUCCAAGGAGGAUUUAGCAGUAAAUUAAGAAUAGAGUGCUUAAUUGAACCAGGCCAUAAAGCGCGUACACACCGCCCGUCACUCCCCUCAAAUAUAUUUAAGGAACAUUUUAACUAAACGCCCUAAUAUUUAUAUAGAGGGGAUAAGUCGUAACAUGGUAAGUGUACUGGAAGGUGCACUUGGAC